UACGAAGGGGGCUAGCGUUGUUCGGAAUUACUGGGCGUAAAGCGCGCGUAGGCGGACCUGCAAGUCGGGGGUGAAAGCCCGAGGCUCAACCUCGGAACUGCCUUCGAUACUGCGGGUCUCGAGUCCGGGAGAGGUGAGUGGAAUUCCUAGUGUAGAGGUGAAAUUCGUAGAUAUUAGGAAGAACACCAGUGGCGAAGGCGGCUCACUGGCCCGGUACUGACGCUGAGGUGCGAAAGCGUGGGGAGCAAACAGG
This 253-nucleotide ribosomal RNA is filed under the name uncultured bacterium. Its description in RNAcentral is "partial 16S ribosomal RNA". It matches the Rfam family "Bacterial small subunit ribosomal RNA", at positions 524 to 776 of the family's 1533-position model. The record is from RNAcentral.